RNAcentral lists this ribosomal RNA (484 nucleotides) under uncultured bacterium. Its description in RNAcentral is "partial 16S ribosomal RNA". It matches the Rfam family "Bacterial small subunit ribosomal RNA", at positions 30 to 507 of the family's 1533-position model. The record is from RNAcentral.
AUUGAACGCUGGCGGCAGGCCUAACACAUGCAAGUCGAGCGGAUGAAGGGAGCUUGCUCCUGGAUUCAGCGGCGGACGGGUGAGUAAUGCCUAGGAAUCUGCCUGGUAGUGGGGGAUAACGUCCGGAAACGGGCGCUAAUACCGCAUACGUCCUGAGGGAGAAAGUGGGGGAUCUUCGGACCUCACGCUAUCAGAUGAGCCUAGGUCGGAUUAGCUAGUUGGUGGGGUAAAGGCCUACCAAGGCGACGAUCCGUAACUGGUCUGAGAGGAUGAUCAGUCACACUGGAACCGAGACACGGUCCAGACUCCUAAGGGAGGCAGCAGUGGGGAAUAUUGGACAAUGGGCGGAAGCCUGAUCCAGCCAUGCCGCGUGUGUGAAGAAGGUCUUCGGAUUGUAAAGCACUUUAAGUUGGGAGGAAGGGCAGUAAGUUAAUACCUUGCUGUUUUGACGUUACCAACAGAAUAAGCACCGGCUAACUUCGUG